GAUGAACGCUGGCGGCGUGCCUAAUACAUGCAAGUCGAGCGAACGGACGAGAAGCUUGCUUCUCUGAUGUUAGCGGCGGACGGGUGAGUAACACGUGGAUAACCUACCUAUAAGACUGGGAUAACUUCGGGAAACCGGAGCUAAUACCGGAUAAUAUUUUGAACCGCAUGGUUCAAAAGUGAAAGACGGUCUUGCUGUCACUUAUAGAUGGAUCCGCGCUGCAUUAGCUAGUUGGUAAGGUAACGGCUUACCAAGGCAACGAUGCAUAGCCGACCUGAGAGGCUGAUCGGCCACACUGGAACUAAGACACGGUCCAGACGCCUACGGGAGGCAGCAGUAGGGAAUCUUCCGCAAUGGGCGAAAGCCUGACGGAGCAACGCCGCGUGAGUGAUGAAGGUCUUCGGAUCGUAAAGCUCUGUUAUUAGGGAAGAACAUAUGUGUAAGUAACUGUGCACAUCUUGACGGUACCUAAUCAGAAAGCCACGGCUAACUACUUG
RNAcentral lists this ribosomal RNA (497 nucleotides) under uncultured bacterium. Its description in RNAcentral is "partial 16S ribosomal RNA". It matches the Rfam family "Bacterial small subunit ribosomal RNA", at positions 28 to 507 of the family's 1533-position model. The record is from RNAcentral.